RNAcentral lists this non-coding RNA (29 nucleotides) under Homo sapiens (human). The record is from RNAcentral. Lineage: Eukaryota; Metazoa; Chordata; Mammalia; Primates; Hominidae.
UCUGGAUGUGUACGUGCAAAUCACAGGGC